UGGGGGAUAUUGCACAAUGGGCGAAGCCUGAUGCAGCGACGCCGCGUGGGGGAUGAAGGCCUUCGGGUUGUAAACUUCUUUUGCUCUGAACAAGGCAUGCUAAUGGGUGUGUUGAGUGUAGGGGUUGAUUAGCGCCGGCUAACUACGUGCCAGCAGCCGCGGUAAUACGUAGGGCGCGAGCGUUGUCCGGAAUUAUUGGGCGUAAAGGGCUUGUAGGUGGCUGGUUGCGUCUGUCGUGAAAGCUCAUGGCUUAACUGUGGGUUUGCGGUGGGUACGGGCUGGCUUGAGUGCAGUAGGGGAGGCUGGAAUUCCUGGUGUAGCGGUGGAAUGCGCAGAUAUCAGGAGGAAUACCGGUGGCGAAGGCGGGUCUCUGGGCUGUUACUGACACUGAGGAGCGAAAGCAUGGGGAGCGAACAGG
Molecule: ribosomal RNA, 418 nt
Filed under: bacterium
Lineage: Bacteria
Description: partial 16S ribosomal RNA
Rfam family: Bacterial small subunit ribosomal RNA
Source: RNAcentral